This 303-nucleotide ribosomal RNA is filed under the name uncultured bacterium. Its description in RNAcentral is "bacterial SSU rRNA". It matches the Rfam family "Bacterial small subunit ribosomal RNA", at positions 355 to 656 of the family's 1533-position model. The record is from RNAcentral.
UGAGGAAUAUUGGUCAAUGGGCGAGAGCCUGAACCAGCCAAGUCGCGUGAGGGAUGACUGCCCUAUGGGUUGUAAACCUCUUUUGUAUGGGGGGAAUAAGCUUUACGAGUAGAGUGAUGACAGUACCAUACGAAUAAGCAUCGGCUAACUCCGUGCCAGCAGCCGCGGUAAUACGGAGGAUGCGAGCGUUAUCCGGAUUUAUUGGGUUUAAAGGGUGCGUAGGCGGCAUUAUAAGUUAGUGGUAAAAUAUUGGGGCUUCACCUCACUACGCCAUUAAUACUGUAGAGCUAGAGAACAGACGAG